This 7658-nucleotide long non-coding RNA is filed under the name Eucalyptus grandis. Its description in RNAcentral is "long non-coding RNA (EGRA_LNC001557)". The record is from RNAcentral. Lineage: Eukaryota; Viridiplantae; Streptophyta; Magnoliopsida; Myrtales; Myrtaceae.
GAGUGGUCGUGUGUUGGUUAAGAGAACCAGUCUCGAGCAAUUAUGCCGGACGUUACUAAAUCCCUUUUCGGGUUACCCAUGCAUUAGGGUAGCGGGUCGCAGUAGAUUCUGGACCUACGCCCCUUCGGGGAAGCCGUCUAAUUGAGAGACGUUGCCGUGCUCACGGUGGAGAUGACGCCUGGCAAUGCCAGAAGACCGCCAAUAGAGUUGGCCGUACCCUUGAGGGGUAUAAUUAACAAUUGGAACGCAUGAUGGUUGAGUUUGAUGCACCGGAUUAUGAGACAAAAUUGUGUGACAUGGUAUGGGACGUGUCAUAAUGAUUUGGCCUUAUAAUCUGGACCCUUGUGAUUUAUUGAGUUGAGUGAUGUGUUUCAAUUGCUGGAUGUAUCGAUUCUAUACAUAAGGUAUGCGAAUUGUACUGACUUGCAGGUGGAAUCUGAGGCCAAGGUAAGUCAUCUGCCCUAUGCGUGUUUAGGUAGCCUAUAGUAUAAUGGUUUACUAAUCGGGCUUAGUGGGGUAGAACUCGCUGAGACGUAGUCUCAUCCCAGUUUGGGGAAAACAUUUCAGGACUCCGUUGAGGAGCUGAGGAGGAGGAAUCUGAGAAGGAGAACUCGGAGGUGAAACCUGAGUAGAAGGAUUUUGGUAGAAGAAGAUAAUCCCGAGAGGGGCCUUGAGUAUGGCCUGGAUGGGCUGAGAGUCUAUCUUCUUUUGAGAAUUCAUUUUGAUGUGAAUAGUUAUGAAGUGAUUUGUGUUUUGUAUAAAAGUUUGGUUAUAAAUUUCAAUAUGAAAAAUAUGGCCCUGCUUUUCUAUCCCAUCGUUUUAUUGUUUGGGGAUUUUAACUGCUUCUGCAUGUGUUUAAUAAAUGAAAGGGUCGGCGAUACAUUGUCCUGGGAUAUCGCAUUAUAAAAUCGACCAAGAGUGAAGGAUGUGCGCGUGCCCGAGGAUCGGGGCGUGACAUCCCCUUUUUGUGGUAUCAGAGCGAAGUUGAAGAUUGGAGUGAUAAGGAGCGUUGACCAUGGGAUAGUUAGUAGGAAAGGCCUUUAAAUUCAGCUGAUGCAUGUCUGUGGUAGCUGAAUGCUAGAAUUGUUUGUUGUGAGUGGAUCGCUCAUCUUCUAAUCCAGUGUGGGUUUGGAAGACGGGUUUCAGUGUAAAGACUGAACCAUGAGCGAGCAGGAGCUGAGAACUCCUAGUAAGAGGACAAUGUCCUCUGUGACUCGGGAUGAUGCACUGACAAAGGUCAGUACCCGAGGUGGUUGUGGCAGAGUGUUGGCUCUGGCCAGCUCGAGUGUAAGUGUACCACCGCAAGUUGGUACUAGUGUAGCAGCGUCGAAUGAUCCUAAGUUCGAUAGGAUCGUUCUGAUGCUAGUGUUCCUUGGGAAUUGGAUGAGCCAGAAGGCUCAGGAUCGAACCGCCAUCAGUGUUGCAAUUGCCGUUGUCGCUUCACCUGCUGAGAUCCAAAGUGGAGAUGUGAUCCAGGAGCGAGUCAUUGCAUUCGAGUUGAGGUAUAGAUCCAGUUCAGGCAGAAAUGGAAAUCGGUCAGGGAAAAGACCGAGGUCAAGAGAAAAGUAUUCUAUUCCACUCACGAGGAAGGAUGGAGUAGUCAAGUCAACACUGAGUCAAAUAGAUCAGGUUGUUUUCAGACGUGAUGAUGGAGAUCAGUAUUAUGUCCUUCAUAGGACGCGAAAUUGUUUGGAGUAUAGCCAACAGGGAUAUCUGGUCAGGAGUGGUCCUAGCAGAAUGAUGGGGCAACCAGAAAGAGUGCAUGCUUUCGCCUAAUAGAAGAUAGAAGAUGCACCAGAUAUGUGUCAGAAUUGUAGAAGGAAGUAUGGAUAAAUCCAGUGUCCAAGUAUGACUAGAACAUGUUGUGAUGAUGACUAGCAUGGCCAUCAGUUGAAGGAUUGUCAGUGGAAGUCCAAAGUAGCAUAGGCAUCGCUACUGCGGCCAAAACGCCACUAGGAUGGCGAAAGGAAUGAGAGUAGAAUGGACCUUGCACCGAUUAGAGAAAGAAUGUGUUGGGAGUGAUUUUAUCAGAGCAACGCAGUAGAGCUUUGUGCUGAGUUGGUAGAACUUAAAUUGUUGAAGUAAAAGUGACAGAGGAGAAAUCAUUAGCAACAUUUGUACUUGACUAGUUGCUGAGGUGUGAGUUUGAUGCCACAUGAAUAUGACACAUGAAUAGUGAGUUCAUAGAGCAUCUGGUGAUAAUGAAUCAUGGUCAUGGAACAAUCCAGUUUAGUCUAUUAGUUUGCGAAAAUGUCGAGAUUAUUAAGAGUCGAAAAGAAUCUUCGAUUUCAUUAAUCUUGCUGGCUGAAGGUAACUUGUUUGUUAGACGGAGGUUACCAAGGUUGCUUGCGCGAGUGUCUUGGGUAAGACAGAUUGGAGAACUAGAGAUGGAGGACAUCUCAGUGGUCUACAAAAUUCUAGAUGUGUUGUCACUAGAACUGUUAGACCGUCGUCAGAAAAAGAAAUAGAAAGUGCAAUCGAGCUAGCACUAGGAUGGAGCUACUCUCGAAGGCUUAUUACCAGUUGUUGUUGUCUGAACUGGUAGAAUUGAAGAUGCAGAUGUGAAGAUUGAUGAAUGAGGUAUUCGUGCAUAUCAGUGCAUCAUUUUGGGGAAACAUCAGUUUUGUUUGUGAGAAAAAGAAAGAUGGUUUGUUGCAAGUAUGCCUCGACCAUCGUCAACUCAAUUAGGUGACAAUCAAGGACAAGCAUCCAUUGUAAAAGAUCGGCGAAUUGGGUAACCAGACAUCAAGAGUGUCGAUGUUUUCAAGGAUCAACUUGAGAACAGGAUGUUGUCAGUUGUGAACCAGGAAUGAGGUUGUACGAAAGUCAGCUGUUCGUACUUGAUAUGGUCUUUAUGAGAGUAUUGUAAGAUUGUUUGGCUUGGUGAACACUCCAGUUGCUAUCAUGGAUUUGACAGAGUGUUCAAGGAAUAUCUAGAUCAGUUUGUGAUCGUGUUCAUUGAUGACAUCUUAGUCUAUUUGAGAAGUGAUGAAGAGCAUGAGAAUCAUCUGAGAUUAGUGCUUCAGACCUUAAGAGCUCAUCAGCUGUAUGCUAAGUUUAGCAAAUGCGAGUUUUGGUUGACUCGUGUUGUGUUCUUAGGUCAUGUGAUUUCCAGAGAAGGAAUCUCUGUCGACCCAAGCAAGAUAGAAGCCGUGAUUAAGUGGCCGAGACCGACAACAGUGUCAGAGAUCAGAAUUUUUCUGGGGUUAGCAGGUUAUUACAGACGGUUUGUGGAAGGGUUCUCAUUGAUAGCGUCGCCUCUGACAAAGUCUUGAAGAAAGAAGAGAAAUUUGUAUGGUCAGACAAGUGCUAGCGUAGUUUCCAAGAGCUGAAGGAAAAGCUGACUACCGCACCUGUGCUGACGAUUCCAUCUGGUCCUGGAGGAUUCGAGAUCUAUAGUGAUGCGUCAUUCAGGAGAUUGGGUUGCGUGCUGAUGCAACAGGGCAGAGUUGUUGCAUACGCUUCCCGGCAGUUAAGACCUCAUGAAUUGAAUUAUCCAACACAUGACUUAGAACUCGCAGCCAUCAUAUUUGCGUUGAAUAUUUGGAGGCGCUACUUGUGCGGAGAAAAGUUUCAGAUCUUCACAGACCAUCAGAGUUUCAAGUAUUUAUUCUCUCAAAAAGAGUUGAACAUGAGACAGCGACGAUGGAUGGAAUUGCUGAAAGACUACGACAGUGAUAUUCUAUAUCACCCAGGAAAGGCGAAUAAGGUCGCCGAUGCAUUAAGUCGGAAGUCUUCAAUAGAGCAAAUCUUGGUUAAGAAGUAGAACUUAAUCGAGAGAGCUCGGGAUUCGGAAUUCAAAUUUGAGGUAGGCCACCUCUCAAGUCUUAUGGCCGCCCUCAAAAUUGAACCGGAUGUCCAAGUCAGAAUCAAAGAACUCCAAUCGACAGAUCCAGAUGUCCAGAGAAUUCUUCAAGAGGAUACCGAUAAAAGACAAGCUGAUUUUCAAGUUUCUAAUGACAAGACUCUAAGGUUUCAAGGAUGUUUGGUUGUACCUGAUGAUGUCGAGCUUAGAGAAGAGAUUUUAUAUGAAGCACAUCGUAGCACUUAUAGCAUUCAUCUUGGAAGUACCAAGAUGUAUCAGAAUCUGCGUCAACACUACUGGUGGUCAGGUAUGAAGGCGGACAUCGCCAAGCAUGUGGCCAAGUGUUUGACUUGUCAGCAAGUAAAAGCCCAGCAUUACAAGCCGGGAGGACUUCUGCAACCUCUUGUGAUCCCAGAGUGGAAAUGGGAGCAUAUCAUGAUGGACUUCGUGAUUGGACUACCAAGGAGUCAGAAGGGGAAUGAUUCGAUUUGGGUAGUAGUCGACAGGCUGACAAAGUCGGCUCACUUCAUUGCAGUUCGAAAGGACCUGAGUCUGGAUAGACACGCAGACCUGUAUGUGCGUCAAGUGGUUCGUAUGCAUGGAGUGCCGGUUACGAUAACAUCUUAUAGAGAUCCGAGGUUUACGGCUGCUUUUUGGAGGAGCUUGUAGAGUGCUUUAGGUACAAAGCUUCGUUACAGUACAGCGUAUCAUCCUCAGACGGAUGACCAGUCUGAAAGGACAAUUCAGACUCUUGAAGACAUGCUGAGAGUGUGUGUAAUAGAUGUCAAAGGAAGUUGGGAAGAUCAGCUUCAUCUGGUGGAAUUCGCCUACAACAACAGUUAUCAACAGAGCAUCAAGAUGACUCCUUUUGAAGCGUUGUAUGGCAGAGCAUGCAGAACUCCAGUGUGUUGGGAUGAAGUCGGAGAAAGGAAGAUAACAGACCCAGAGUUAGUUCAGCAAUCAGUAGAUGCCGUGGCAGUGAUCAGAGAUAGAUUGAAGACAGCGCAGAGCAGGCAGAAAAGUUAUGCAGAUAAGCGCCGAAGGUCUUUGAAAUUCCAAGUUGGUGAUCACAUUUUUCUGAAAGUGUCACCAAUGAGGGGAACUUCGCGCUUUGGUAAGAAAGGCAAACUGAGUCCGAGGUAUGUAGGUCCGUUUGAGAUUCUUGAAAGAAUCGGAAACCUAGCGUAUCGUCUUGCAUUGUCGCCAAGAUUGGCGCAAGUGCAUGACAUCUUUCACGUGUCGAUGUUAAGGAAGUACAAGCCUGACUCGACCCAUGUGCUCAAUUUCGAAAAAUUGGACGUGGAUGACCAUGUGUCAUACGUUGAAAGCCCGGUCCAGAUUGUCGAUCGUAAAGAGCAAGUUUUGCAUACAAAGACCAUUCCGUUGGUCAAAGUGGUCUGGCAACACCACGGCACUGAAGGAACGACUUGGGAGACAGAAGAAUCGAUGAGACAAUUGUACCCCCGCCUUUUUAAUCAAAGUGUGUAAUGGCUUAAAUUUCGAGGACGAAAUUUUUAUAAGAGGGGAAGAGUUGUCAUAUCCUGAAAUUCGACCCCGUUUCAAUAAAGUUAAAUGGGCAUUUCGUCGACGUGCCUAUGGCCAUUUUUCUCUGAGCUGAUCACUCACGAGUUAACUAAUCUAUUGGGUAAAGCCGUUAAGGGAUGUAUCAGCAGUAAAAUCCCUAAAAGCUAAUCCCUAAAAGCUACCUAAUUGGUUGGAUUUGGCUAAAAUCACGUCUGAUCGAUUUUUAACCACGAAAUUGAACUCGAUUUCGGGAAUCGAAUUUUAAGCGCGUCAUAAUUCUUAUUUCUAGGAUCUUGUCUCAUCAUCCGUCAAAUUGUUGACGAGUUCGAAAUUUCAGGAAACAAAUUAUCGGAGGAAAAAUCGAAGUCCAAAAGAAAAUAGAAAGGGAAAGAGAAAUGAAAUAAAAUAAGUGGAAAGGUAAUAUCUUAUUUCCCUCUCUCCCUCUCUCUUCUUUUCUUUCUUUUCUUUCUUUUCUCUUUUCUCUCUCUCCUUUCCCCUUUCCCUUUCCCCUCAUGCGGAUAGCCUCCCCACCGCCCACCUUCUCUCCCUCUUCUUUGACCGGUCAAUGCAUAUCCUCUCCUCUCUCUUCUCUCUCUCUCUUCUCUCUCCUCUCUCUUCUUUCUUCUCGCACGCUCGACCGAACCAGCUUCUUCUUCCCCUUCUUUCUUCGCGAGCGAACCAGAACCAGAAGCAGAAAAUCGGAGACAGCAGCUCGCCCCUCAGCCGUCGCCGCUCGUCUCGCCGCCGCACCGCACGCCCGCGCCCGCGCUCGUGCGCACGCCGCUCGCCGCCGUGCGCCGCCAGCCCUUUCCUCCGCCCAGACGUUCUUCCCCCAAGUGGACCCAGCUUUGUUCGCCUCUACCCAGCCUCCGUCCGGCCACCUCCGGCCACCGCCCAGCCUCGCCGGACCUUCCCGGCGUCCCUCUUGCUCUUCGCCGGCCUCCCCUCGUCGUUUUGGCCGCCGGAUCUGCUCUGACCAGCCAAGGGCAGAGACCCACGAAAUGGGUUUCCAGCACCUUUGAGCUCGCUUUUGGGCCGUUUCCCGGCCCCGAACCCGAGCCGUGCUUUGGGAACAAUCGUUCCUCGCGUCGCCGCCGUCGGAUUGAUCCGAUUUGCGCGCGAUUUGGUGAGUAAUCUCACUAAUCUUGGAUUAGUUGACUAAUUAUGCUUUAAGGUUAGUUUAGUUUUAAUUAAUUAUGUUUAGGUUGUUAGAUUAGAAUAAAUUAGCAAUUAUUAGUCAAUUGUGAUGUGAUUUAGAUAAAUUGAUUGUGCAAUUAACAAGUAGACGUGGUCUACUAUUUAUUGGAAGCAUCUUGGGAAUUUUCCGACCCCUAAUUGGGCUUCAAUUUGGCGAUUCGGGCCUAAGUGUGAUUUUUGGCAUUUAAAUAUUAUUUUUCGGAAUUAAAUUAAUUAAUUAUUUAUUUUCCGAAAAUUCAACUGAGAUGGUCUGGAACCGGAAUUUUAUGCUGAUGACUGUGGUAAAGUCCGUUUAUUUAAUUGGGCUUUAUUUUGUGCUAAAUUGAAUUUUUAAUAUUAAUUAUUUAAUUUUCGAAAUUAAUAAAUUAAAUAAUUAUUUUUCGGAAAUUAAGAUUUUGAUGGCCGAUGACCGAAAUCUCGUGCUGAUCAUCGUGGCGCAGUCCGUUUAAUUAUUUGAGCUCCACGUUGUAUGGAAUUAAAUAAAUUGUGAUAUUUUAGAGAUUUACUCUAAAUUGAUUGGAAUUGAUUGAGACUGAAUUAUGGAUUGGUAAAUGGCGUGGUUAAAUUCUGCAAUUGAGUGUUAAAUUAUGCAAAUUAAGUGCUGAUUGGAUUCUUGGUAUUUAAUUCCAAAAUUUGUGGAUUUUGAUAUUUAUUCAGAAAAUCCCGGGUGUCGGGUUUUAAUACCGAAAAUGGAUUUUAAGUACUAUAUCAAAUAGUGGGGUUUGAAAAAGACAGGUAUCAGUCUUCUGGUUCGAAUUGACCGUGUACCCACACACGACUAUUUUCAGGAUAUUUUUAAUACGAAGGAAAUAGGCCAGGAUCACUAUUUUAAUGGAGGCAUUUGAGUGCAAUGCACAGGGUCCUGGGCCGAGAUUGAGGGUCGUGUGUUGGUUAAGAGAACCAGUCUCGAGCAAUUAUGCCGGACGUUACUAAAUCCCUUUUCGGGUUACCCAUGCAUUAGGGUAGCGGGUCGCAGUAGAUUCUGGACCUACGCCCCUUCGGGGAAGCCGUCUAAUUGAGAGACGUUGCCGUGCUCACGGGGGAGACGACGCCUGGCAAUGCUAGAAGACCGCCAAUAGAGUUGGCUGUACCCUUGAGGGGUGUAAUUAACAAUUGGAACGCAUGAUGGUUG